Belonocnema kinseyi is the source of this 658-nucleotide long non-coding RNA. RefSeq lists it as uncharacterized. Lineage: Eukaryota; Metazoa; Arthropoda; Insecta; Hymenoptera; Cynipidae. The transcript has 3 exons. The record is from RefSeq and is a predicted model, not a curated record.
UGACAGCACCCAGCAUCGAAAAAACCCCUCUGUUGAACUGAGUGCAAACUGUAAUGAAAGUAAAUAAACUUUGGUGUAGGCUUUAUAAAUUAAAAUCAUGACAAAGACAGUUUGCUUCGACCUUCCACUCAGACAUUCACUAGAUAUCAAAAGAGGCAGUGCAUGUUCCUAAACAAGUUUUCCCAUGUUGAUUGUGCCAGUCGAUCUUAAAGGAGGUCAUAUUUUAGUCAUUUCCUUAGACCCAGCACUCAACUUCUUGAGACACCCAGAAAUACAUUUUUACUGUUCUGCAAUGUCAUUGCAGUCUACAUUCUAUAUUACGAAACUCAGUAUUGCAACUGUUAAAACAUAGAAGCCAUUCCGAGAGUUGACGACACGCCGUGGGUAGGUGCAACAGUAGCUGCGCGUGGUGCUCGGGGUCUGCGGUUGUCACUCAGGCGAGCACUCUGACAUGGACAAAGAAAACGAAGCGGGCUCUAACAGAUUCCAACAGUUCUAUCUAAAUAGAUAACUCCCUUCUGGACUCUGGAAGUCCUUGAAACGAAAUUGGAUUUGAAAGUUUGCUUCUACUAAGUCCUGGCUUUGCAUCUUGCAUCUCGAGACUCGAAACAAACUUACGAAGUUGGCCUUUCCUCUAAAGGUAGUAAAAGGAUUUCUG